UUUGUACAUUGGGUAGAGUUCGGCCCAACCAGAACUGAGUGGAGAGGGGUGGCCAAGCCUGAUUUUAAAAAAAGUCAAAAGAGACCAUGGAUGUGCCAGUGCCACACAUGCAGCGUCACCUGGAAUGCGGGUCUUCCAGAAUUCCUGCGAUAGGUGGAGACGGGCUCAUACUUCGCUCGAUCCCUCUCUCUGUUCUGGCCUGCUGGACAGGAGCCAAGAGGAGUUGGUCGCUCAUCUCUUCACCUGCUACCUUCUCACCGUCCCCCGUCCCAAGGAUAGGACACGUUCCUGCAACUAAAAUCUCUUGGUUGAUUGAGAGCAGCAGAGCUCUUGUUGGUCUGAGAAGGCAGGUUAAGUGGCCAAAGCGCACACCUCCGCUGGGGAGGGUCCUUGGCUGUGGACUUGAUAAAUUCACUAAAAAAUUGUGCGGUGGUCCCUGAUUCUGUGAUUUCUGCUCCUAUCUCAGUCUUCUCAUGACUGACCCCAGGCUGGGCCAACACUGAGAUGGGAACCCGAGACCAGAGGCUUCGGUACUUACAGUAGAACUGUCUCAGGCCUUGCCCAUGCUAUUGCAAGUAGUUUUUACCUUCCUCAGUACUUACGGAAAAUCAACACAAUACAAUCUCUGCUAGUUAUGCAUAGACUAUCGGAGCUGGGAGGGGCCUUAGAGAUGCUCAAACUCAACCCUGUUGGAGAAGGGAAGUGACCCAUCCAUAGUCAAUGCCACUUAAUAGCCGAGCCGGGGCCAGAGCUGGGCUCCUGAUCCCAGUCCAGGCUGCAUGCUGCCUCCCCUCACGCAGUACUUGUAUGCGUCCACACAGCACCCCACGGGACCUUCACAUCCUAAAGUGUCUUCUGAAAUAUCAGAGAUUAAAUGCUGUUCGUGUCAUAUUUAGUGUUGUGGCUUUUUAUUUCAUCUUUGGGAAGCAACAGUAGAGUAAGUCAUUAUCAACCCCAAAUUUCCUGACCAGGUUAUGCAAUUUGAGAAAAUGCCAAAAGAAGGUAAUCUGAGUGGGUGGUGUGAGCUUGUGAAUACAGGCUUGGGGAUCAGACGUGGCGAGACAUGACUCCUACUUCCCCUUAGGAAAUAAGUGGGACCCGUGGCUGUGACCUGGUUGUUGUCCAAGAUCCCCAGAUGUGAGGGGCAGAUCCAGAAAGGAAGCUCUUAUUGGAAAGAUGCCCUUUAGGUUGGCUGAGCAUUUUGGGGCUGCAUCCUUAGGGGCCCAGCACUGUCAAAGCUCAGCAUUUCUGAACAUGAUGAGAAGGUUAAGGUAAGGACGAGUGGCCCGCUCCACCCUGUUGUGGUAUGUGGGGUGUGGGUGUGAUGGUUUCUGUGUACUCUCUCACACACACACCCAAACGCUUGGUGCCUUACUCCUGGCCCUGGCUGCGGACUUGGUCUGUCACAGCCCACAGGAACUCCCUCAGUUGGCCAAGCCAAGUCUUAUUACAGACUCCCCAAAAGGGAGAAGGCCCCCUCCCGGAGGACUGAGUGGGCAUGAUGUAUUUGGUUCAUCUGCUUCAUGUGUAUAUUUCAAGACACAACCUGAGGAACGAUCACUUUGUUUUUUGUUAAUUGCCCUGAUAAAUAGGGAAACUUAGGGUUCACUGUAAAGUAAGCCUUGGUAAGAAUCUGGGGCCCUGACCCCAACUCAAGGCUGACUGACACAGGUUGGUCAGGAGUAUCUCCUACGAAAUCCCCACUCCCCAAUAGAGGUCAUUUCUCUCCAGACCAGAGUUAUGUACAUCCUGCCUGCCAGCCCUGCAGCCUCACCCUGGUGGCAUGCCCACUUCCCCAAUUCUCUUCAUGUGAGAGCCUUCCUUCCCUUGUUAUUGAAAGAUGCCAUGUGUCCCAUGUCCUCAUCCUUCAAAGAGCAUGUUUCUCUCUAUAGAUGGUCUUUGGGAUUCAAAAAUAGACUAGUUGUCCUCACUUUGAAAAUGAGCAGUGGGAUCCCAAUGAGGACAUCUGCUAUCCUGAAGGUUAUGUUAGAGCCACCAGUGGAAUGUCUCUCCCUCUUAUAUCCGUAUAGGAUUGCUCUUCAUUCAACUUUAACUGAUUGGGUGGGAGGUGAGUGUCUUCAGGGUUGUUGUUAUCUCUUUUUGAAGGAUUUUGGAUGAAAGUGUAUAAAAGUCAGUCAUUUGAUUUAAAAAACCAAAGUGACAACUCUACUUCCCCUUGACCUUGCAUCUGUCAUACCCUGUUGCAGUCUUGCUACUGCUGGGAACAAACCACCUGCCAAAUACAGGCCUCUCAGCCUGGCACGUGGGGUCUGUGCCCUCAGAUAUACUGGCAGCUGCUCCUCUGAAUCACUACUCAGGUGCUACUCUGGGAGUUCUGCCCUGUGACUCGGUGGGGUAGGCCUACGUGCAGUCCUGCACAGAGGUCAGGGGAUGGGCCCAGGCAUGUCUUAGAUGCCUUUCUUCACAGUGUGAAGUAUGGUCUGGCAGAGGCCUCCCUGUAACCCGGGGGUAGGCAGGUAUGCAAAACUUGGUGUUUAUUCCAUGGAAGGAAGGGCGGAUGGGAGACUGGAGAACAGGCACUGUUUGAUAUGAGUUAGAGCUGGAGGUGAAGAUUUCAGGGUCUACAAUAUGUGUAUGUGAGAUGAGCCACUCCAUCCUUUGAUCCAUGCUCAUACAUGUAGGAAGGAAAGGAUCAUACUAUUAUAAUAUGAAGCUGUAGGCUCAUAGAUGAGAGGAGGUAGAGACCUGGUGCAUGGACAAGAGAAUUCAUGUUCAUCUCAGUUAGAAUCCAAGAAGGAAUUCAGGUAAAAUGCUUCCGUGCCCCUUUUUCUCAUGUGAGUGACUAUGGAGCAUAUAGAUCUGGGCUCAGUUCAACCUCCAUCCCUUACCAAUCAGGGAACCCUGAUUGGGACUUCCUGGAACGUCAAGUUCUCAGUCUGUAACAUGGGGAUAAUGCCAUCCUUUUGAAAAUUGUGGGGAUGAACAAGUGCUAUAAACUGUGUAAAGGUCAGUGCUUGACACGGUGUAGAAACUCCAUAAGUGAUAGUAUUGUCUUCUGGAUCUUAUUCCUUCCUCCUUACAGGGAGCAAAUGUAGAAAGGGUAGGAAGCCAAGAGCACACUCCAUGCAGCGCUGAGGAAUCAGGAGAUCUUUGUGCAAAUGGAAGUCCAAAGUAACAACCAGGCUUUGGCACACCUUCCAGGUGACUCACCUUCCGCCACACCAUGAUUCCUGGAAUUUGAAGAGAUCAGCAUCAAUAUGGUGUUUGUGUUUCCAUGAAGGCUGAACCGUUUAUUUCCAGCUUCUCUAUCCUCAAACUCGGCUUCCCCUUUUUCAUCAAUCUCUUGCGGCCCAUGACCAUAUAGUUUGAUUCUUUUUGCUUCCUUUAAUUUUUCUUUCACUGUGUAGUUCAAAGAACUAUAGGCUAUCCAAUAAUUAUGUUUCAUUAUUUAUCUAUCAUUACUUAUUUAUUGUUUCAAUCAUUUUUUAAAUGAAGGGGAAGAAUACUGGUAAACAUAUAGCAGGAGGGAACUCUGGCUAAAGUCAGGAAGAGGUGGGGCUAGAAAAGGUUUCAAGAUUCUUGGGGCCAUUUUUAAAAAUAGGGUUAGGCAUAUUUCAGGAAUGAAUCGGGCAUUAGUUUACAGGAGGCAAGAAGGUACAGUGGAUGACCUCUCUAAAUCCCUUCUGCUAUAAGGGCCACAUGAUUUACUGAACUCAUCAUCAUCAUUGCCAUCACCACCAUCACUUCCAUCAUCACCAUCACCACGAUCAUUGUCAUCAUUGUCAUCAUUGACAGAGCAUACAAGUGAGAUAAAACCAGGUGAUGCUCUAAUUCCAGGCCGUCCUUCCCUCUUGCUCAAUACCUGUCUGAAUGGUUGUUCUUAUUCACCACGUGCCAUGUAUUUCGAGUUCAAAAUAAUCUGAGUCAAAAUGAUAUCCUGACAAAGCUCAGGACGAGGUGAGCUUCACUAAAAAAUGUAUGUUUCAAUGAAACCAAACAACUUAAUUGGAAAGACCAACACCCUGUCAAAAAGAAUCACAAUAUAACUUAAGGUGAAAGUUACAUCAUAUAACUAAGGGCUGGAAGGAAAUGUUUAGAUUAUCUAAUGCAACCUCCUACCUGAAGAGGAAUUAUACCUAUAAGUGGAUAUAAAUAUAGUCAGAAAAACGAAUGGAUAAAUGGGUGGGUGAGUGGAUGGAUGGGUGGAUGGAUAGAUGGGUGGAUGGGUGAAUGGAUGGGAGAGAGGAGGGGAGAGGAAAAACUGAAAAAUACAGUGGCCGAGGGUUAGGUCAAAUAUGGCAUCAUUAUCAUUUUGAAAUCUGGUACAAUUCUAGCCUUAAUCUUUGGCCACCCUGCUUCCACUUGGAGAGGCAGGGACUACCCCGUGCCUCUAACUUCACCCACCACUGGAAAAGUGCGUCUUCUGGUGGUUGCCCUGCCCUGAGGCCAGCCUCCUGCAAGAAGAGGUUGGGUAAUGACCAAUUUUUUUGUCUGUGGUUUUUCUUCUGCAUGAGACUGAAAUUGUGAUUUCAGUUUAAUAUGAAAUAUAUAUUUGGUCUUCAUCUCCAUUUCUGGCUCAGAGAUCCUAAAACCUUUGGAAUUUCUUAUGAGGAGACGGAUAAAGGUGUGUUUUGUUAUGUCAAUGAGUGACUUUUGAAAAACCCCAAGGUCGCCUGAGGACGGAGGCUGACCACCUGGGAACUUUUAGUCCCACCCUCCCACCCACCCCACUUCUGGGCAAAGCAGAGGGGCUGAAGAUUGAGUUUAAUUGCCAAUGGCCAGUGAUUGAAUCAAUCACACCGAUGUAAUGAAGCCUCCCUAAAAACCCCAGAGUUCGGGGAGCUUCCAGGUCGGUGAACCAGAACAGUUCCCACCCCGAGCUCCCAGGAACAGAGCUCCUUUGUUCCAGACCUCGCCCUGUGUAUCUCUUCAUCUGGCUGUUCAUUAGUUUCCUUUAAUAUACUUUGUAAUAAACCAGUAAUCCAGUGAGU
This is a long non-coding RNA of Myotis brandtii (Brandt's bat), 4952 nucleotides long. RefSeq lists it as uncharacterized. The transcript is spliced from 2 exons. The record is from RefSeq and is a predicted model, not a curated record. Lineage: Eukaryota; Metazoa; Chordata; Mammalia; Chiroptera; Vespertilionidae.